UUCAUUUCUUCAAUUAUAACUCAAAGUCUUCAAGAUAUUUGUGUCUACGCCACAAUCACUACUUAUUUGACACUCGUAUAUGCCAUCCUUCUGCUCUCGUAAUAAGUGACAGCGCUGACGUAUGAAGCAGUGGUUGUUUUUCUCCUCAAGUUGGAGCGCGUUCCGAAGUCAACAAAAAAUCGGUGCACAUACCUUUUAGUUCACGAGUGUACAUUCAUUGAAUGUCCGGUGCUGUCUGGGGUGCUCGUGGUUCAAGCAUAACACUCUUAAGGUAAAGAAAAGAAGAACGGUACUCGUGGUUCAAGCACUGCGUUCUGGAAAAAGAAUGAAGGUGAUAAUCAGUGAGGGAAGAGAGGCUCAAGAUCCUUUAGCAAACGGCUGGCCAAAGGCUCAGCGAAAGACUGUCUAAAGACUGGUUAGAGGCUAAUAAGAGACUGCCUGCGCGCGAAGGGCCGAGCCCUUUUUAUACCCAAGCCCGACACUAUGGA
Long non-coding RNA from Harpegnathos saltator (Jerdon's jumping ant), 488 nucleotides. RefSeq lists it as uncharacterized. The transcript has 2 exons. The record is from RefSeq and is a predicted model, not a curated record. NCBI's taxonomy places the organism in Eukaryota, Metazoa, Arthropoda, Insecta, Hymenoptera, Formicidae.